RNAcentral lists this transfer RNA (89 nucleotides) under Cardinium endosymbiont of Culicoides punctatus. RNAcentral's name for it is "tRNA-Arg". The record is from RNAcentral. Lineage: Bacteria; Pseudomonadati; Bacteroidota; Cytophagia; Cytophagales; Amoebophilaceae.
GAUGGCAUUAGGUUAUUGUUUAGCUGGUGACCAUCCUAUGGUAAAGCAUUAUCAAGAUGAACAUGUAGUGCGAUUCUUUAAUACCAUCA